CCGGCCUUCGGGCCGGUGAAAGUGGCGCACGGGUGAKUAACACGUGGAUAAUCUACCCGAUGAUCCGGGAUAACAUCUCGAAAGGGGUGCUAAUACCGGGUAAGCCCACGGACUCUUCGGAGUUUGCGGGAAAAGGUGGGGACCUUCGGGCCUACCGUCAUCGGAUGAGUCCGCGGCCCAUUAGCUAGUUGGUAGGGUAACGGCCUACCAAGGCAACGAUGGGUAGCUGGUCUGAGAGGAUGAUCAGCCACACUGGAACUGARACACGGUCCAGACUCCUACGGGAGGCAGCWGUGGGGAAUUUUGCGCAAUGGGCGAAAGCCUGACGCAGCAACGCCGCGUGAGUGAUGAAGGCCUUCGGGUCGUAAAGCUCUGUCAGAGGGGAAGAACCACCCAUCGGUUAAUAUCCGGUGGGCCUGACGG
Molecule: ribosomal RNA, 423 nt
Filed under: uncultured Geobacter sp.
Lineage: Bacteria; Pseudomonadati; Thermodesulfobacteriota; Desulfuromonadia; Geobacterales; Geobacteraceae
Also listed under: 1 other name
Description: bacterial SSU rRNA
Rfam family: Bacterial small subunit ribosomal RNA
Source: RNAcentral